This 2900-nucleotide ribosomal RNA is filed under the name Proteus mirabilis. Its description in RNAcentral is "Bacterial large subunit ribosomal RNA". It matches the Rfam family "Bacterial large subunit ribosomal RNA". Lineage: Bacteria; Pseudomonadati; Pseudomonadota; Gammaproteobacteria; Enterobacterales; Morganellaceae. The record is from RNAcentral.
GUUAAGCGAAUAAGCGUACACGGUGGAUGCCUAGGCAAUCAGAGGCGAUGAAGGACGUGCUAAUCUGCGAAAAGCGUCGGUAAGGUGAUAUGAACCGUUAUACCCGACGAUAUCCGAAUGGGGAAACCCAGUAUCCAAUGGAUACUAUCAUUAACUGAAUCCAUAGGUUAAUGAGGCGAACCGGGAGAACUGAAACAUCUCAGUACCCCGAGGAAAAGAAAUCAACCGAGAUUCCCCUAGUAGCGGCGAGCGAACGGGGAGCAGCCCAGAGUCUUAAUCAAUAGCAGUGUCAGGAGAACGGUCUGGAAAGUCCGGCAGUAAAGGGUGAUAGCCCCGUAUCUGAAGAUGCUGUUAUUGUGAACUCGACGAGUAGGGCGGGACACGUGUUAUCCUGUCUGAAUAUGGGGGGACCAUCCUCCAAGGCUAAAUACUCCUGAUUGACCGAUAGUGAACCAGUACCGUGAGGGAAAGGCGAAAAGAACCCCGGCGAGGGGAGUGAAAAAGAACCUGAAACCGUGUACGUACAAGCAGUAGGAGCCUCUUUAUGGGGUGACUGCGUACCUUUUGUAUAAUGGGUCAGCGACUUAUAUUCUGUAGCAAGGUUAACCGUAUAGGGGAGCCGUAGGGAAACCGAGUCUUAACUGGGCGAAUGAGUUGCAGGGUAUAGACCCGAAACCCGGUGAUCUAUCCAUGGGCAGGUUGAAGGUUGGGUAACACUAACUGGAGGACCGAACCGACUAAUGUUGAAAAAUUAGCGGAUGACUUGUGGAUGGGGGUGAAAGGCCAAUCAAACCGGGAGAUAGCUGGUUCUCCCCGAAAGCUAUUUAGGUAGCGCCUCGUGAACUCAUCUUCGGGGGUAGAGCACUGUUUCGACUAGGGGGUCAUCCCGACUUACCAACUCGAUGCAAACUGCGAAUACCGAAGAAUGUUAUCACGGGAGACACACGGCGGGUGCUAACGUCCGUCGUGAAGAGGGAAACAACCCAGACCGCCAGCUAAGGUCCCAAAGUCAUGGUUAAGUGGGAAACGAAGUGGGAAGGCUCAGACAGCCAGGAUGUUGGCUUAGAAGCAGCCAUCAUUUAAAGAAAGCGUAAUAGCUCACUGGUCGAGUCGGCCCGCGCGGAAGAUGUAACGGGGCUAAACCAUGCACCGAAGCUGCGGCAGCGACACAAAGUGUUGUUGGGUAGGGGAGCGUUCUGUAAGCCUGCGAAGGUGUACUGUGAGGUAUGCUGGAGGUAUCAGAAGUGCGAAUGCUGACAUAAGUAACGAUAAUGCGGGUGAAAAACCCGCACGCCGGAAGACCAAGGGUUCCUGUCCAACGUUAAUCGGGGCAGGGUGAGUCGACCCCUAAGGCGAGGCUGAAAAGCGUAGUCGAUGGGAAACGGGUUAAUAUUCCCGUACUGGUGGUAACUGCGAUGGGGGAACGGAGAAGGCUAGGUUGUCCGGGCGACGGUCGUCCCGGUUCAAGCAGGUAGGCAGAGUGAUUAGGCAAAUCCGGUCACUUAAUGCUGAGAUGUGAUGACGAACCACCAAGGUGGUGAAGCAAUUGAUGCCCCGCUUCCAGGAAAAGCCUCUAAGCUUCAGGUUACCAACAAUCGUACCCCAAACCGACACAGGUGGUCAGGUAGAGAAUACUCAGGCGCUUGAGAGAACUCGGGUGAAGGAACUAGGCAAAAUGGUGCCGUAACUUCGGGAGAAGGCACGCUGGCGGUAGGUAAAGUCCCUCGCGGACGGCGCUGAAGCCAGUCGAAGAUACCAGCUGGCUGCAACUGUUUAUUAAAAACACAGCACUGUGCAAACACGAAAGUGGACGUAUACGGUGUGACGCCUGCCCGGUGCUGGAAGGUUAAUUGAUGGGGUUAGCCGUAAGGCGAAGCUCCUGAUCGAAGCCCCAGUAAACGGCGGCCGUAACUAUAACGGUCCUAAGGUAGCGAAAUUCCUUGUCGGGUAAGUUCCGACCUGCACGAAUGGCGUAAUGAUGGCCAGGCUGUCUCCACCCGAGACUCAGUGAAAUUGAACUCGCUGUGAAGAUGCAGUGUACCCGCGGCAAGACGGAAAGACCCCGUGAACCUUUACUAUAGCUUGACACUGAACAUUGAGCCUUGAUGUGUAGGAUAGGUGGGAGGCUUUGAAGUGUGGACGCCAGUCUGCAUGGAGCCAACCUUGAAAUACCACCCUUUAACGUUUGAUGUUCUAACCUAGGCCCAUAAACUGGGUCGGGGACCGUGUCUGGUGGGUAGUUUGACUGGGGCGGUCUCCUCCUAAAGAGUAACGGAGGAGCACGAAGGUUGGCUAAGCAUGGUCGGACAUCAUGCGGUUAGUGCAAAGGCAUAAGCCAGCUUGACUGCGAGAGUGACGGCUCGAGCAGGUACGAAAGUAGGUCUUAGUGAUCCGGUGGUUCUGAAUGGAAGGGCCAUCGCUCAACGGAUAAAAGGUACUCCGGGGAUAACAGGCUGAUACCGCCCAAGAGUUCAUAUCGACGGCGGUGUUUGGCACCUCGAUGUCGGCUCAUCACAUCCUGGGGCUGAAGUAGGUCCCAAGGGUAUGGCUGUUCGCCAUUUAAAGUGGUACGCGAGCUGGGUUUAGAACGUCGUGAGACAGUUCGGUCCCUAUCUGCCGUGGGCGUUGGAAGAUUGAGAGGGGUUGCUCCUAGUACGAGAGGACCGGAGUGAACGCACCACUGGUGUUCGGGUUGUCAUGCCAAUGGCAUUGCCCGGUAGCUAAGUGCGGAAGAGAUAACCGCUGAAAGCAUCUAAGCGGGAAACUUGCCUCGAGAUGAGUCUUCCCUGUCGCUUUAAGCGACCUAAAGGAACGUUUAAGACUAAGACGUUGAUAGGCUGGGUGUGUAAGCGUAGCGAUACGUUGAGCUAACCAGUACUAAUGAACCGUGAGGCUUAACC